This 2983-nucleotide long non-coding RNA is filed under the name Citrus x clementina. Its description in RNAcentral is "Citrus clementina (C. clementina) long non-coding RNA (CCLE_LNC001478)". Lineage: Eukaryota; Viridiplantae; Streptophyta; Magnoliopsida; Sapindales; Rutaceae. The record is from RNAcentral.
AUAUACUAUCAAUUUUGAUUUCAUAGUUAUAAUUUUUUUUUAAAAGUAAUUAAAACUUAAAAGGUACAUUAUCUUAAUACCAAAUAGGCUCUUAGGACUGACAUGUAUUGAAAGGACUGAUGAUUGAUUAUAUAGGGGAAUUAAGCAACAAAAAUGCUACACCAACAGUAAUCUUAUGUUAUCCAUAGCUUUCAGGAAAAGUUAAAGUAGGUAAUCAACCUAAAUUGAAAAUUUUGACAUUACUUAUUUUAGUUCUUAGCCUCAAGCUUAUUAAUUUGGGUAAGCAAUUGCGCUGCUAUGGAAGAAAUUAUUUAAUGAUGGAAAAUUUGCUAACCUUUUUGCAAAUUAAAUUUCAACCUCUUCUCUUUAUAUGUCUAAAAAUUUUGAAAAGCGUCUACAGGAAGCCAUUACCAUUCCCACAUCUCAAGGAAAUGACAGUAAAUAUGUGCUACAAGCUUAAAAAGCUUCCACUGGAUUAUAAUAGUGAGCAUAAAAUUUGUUAUUGGUGGAGAAGAACACCUUAUUUAGUAGUGCGGUUGAACAAUUAUAAUAUAAAAGAUAUAAUAGUAAAGUAUUAGUAAACACCUACUAUUGUGGUUUAAAAGAUAAAUUGAUUUGAUCUAAUAUUUAUAUAAUUAAAAAGUUAUAAUAUUUUUAUUAUGAGUUAUUUUUUAGUGCAGGCACUUACAUUUUUUUUAAAUAUGGAUUUGAGAUUCCACACCCGUUUCAAAUACUUUUACAACAUUGUAAAAUGAUUUUUCAGUAAAUUAUAAAGUUGUUAAAGCAUUUGACACUAAUAUGAAACCUUAAAUCUGCAAUUUAAAAAAUGCAGGUGCUUGCACUUGAAAAUGAUUAUCCUUAUCAUUUUCUCAAAAUUUUCACAGUGCCAGCUUUUUUUUUAUAGCAACUACAACUUUUAAAUCACGAUACCUCAAUAACAAACAAGACCAAAGAGUGAUGGAAGGAUCUUGGAUGGGAGGAUGUGCCAUUGAAAAUACUUUCUCUCUCCUGUUUUAAAUCUCUUUACAAAUUUGAUUCUGGGUGAGUGUAAUUUUCUUCCCUUUAGGUUUUUAUUGUUUGCAUCGUGUGAUUGAAAAAAAAAUGUGUAAGUACUUGUGUUCUCAUUUCUUAAUAAUCUUGCUGGUUCAAUCACAUGUCUUGAAUUCGAUCUCUUUUUCCAUUUCCUAUUUCAUAAUAUUGACAUGUUGUGAGAUUCGGUUGUCUGCUCUAUAGGAUAAGAUUUUGUUAAGACAUAUAUGAUCCAUGAUCAGAUUCAUGUACACACAUACCAUGAUGAUUGAUAUAUGAUCAAUAAAAUCCAUUGAUCAACACUGACAAUCAAAAUUGAAUCAUAGAAACAAGAUUAAUCACCACAAAAUGGUCACACGCAGAGAAUGCACAAACAAAAAACAACACAAGCUACAACUUCUAAUGAAUUAUUUAAUUCAAAGUAUGAUAUGAUUUCUUUGCUUUUUCUAAAGUUUUGAAAGUUAUUUUAUAAUAUAAUAAGUCUAUCUUCCAUGUCUUCUCAUUUAUUACAAACUUUGACCAAUAAUUUAAUAAUAGUGUUAGCUUGUGCUUGUUGGAUAUUAUCUCUAUCUUGAUUAAAUUCCUUAAAAUUGUAACCUACCAUAUUAAUAUUUGGCUAUUCUCUUUUUAAUUUCACUAAUGAUUCUAUUAAUUGUCUUUCUAAACUCAUCCACUUACUAUUAAUUUUAUCAAAUUAAAUUGUAUUUGUAAUUCUCUUUGUGUAUACUACAUAUUCUCUAUUUCAACUUUUAAAGUUUCUACAAGACUUUUAAUUUCUAAUUCUACUAGCCUAGGUGUUUUUAUAUCUAAAAAUUAGAUUAAUUCUAUUAUUUCUUCUUUAUUAGAGAAUCUUCUAAUUUGACUAUUGAAUGUGAAUAACAACUCUUUAAUAUAGUCUAGAUUUCUUCUUAAUGUAUUAAUGUUACUAGUUUUCCAAAACUGUCCAAGUCCUAGCAUGAGUUCUUUCAAGCUUUUCUAAGUUCGCUUCUAGAUGUUGUUCUAAAUUAAUUAACAAGUCUAUAAUAAGUUUUAUUGAUUACUACUAGUAUGUGGAAUAUGCUUAAAUUGGUUUUGUGAAUGUUCUAUGUUAUAACUAACUUUAUGUCUCUUUGUCAAAUUUAAUUUUGCUUUUCUAUUGUUACUAAUUUCAAGAUCUAAGUAUGCUAAUCUAUGAAAAUUAGUACAUAAUAGUUUAUGAACUUCUUAUAUCUUCUAAUCAUUUCUAAUUUUUAUCAUAGUAAUCUAAUAGUUUCAAUUCAUUAGUAUAAGAGUACUCUAAUAUAGGAAAUUUUGAGAGAGCAUAAUGUCUAACUAUUAUUUUUCUCACCAUUUCAAGAGCUAAUGGAGAUGUAUUAUUUACUGGAAGCUUUAUAUUUCCUAAUCUUUCUUCUAGAAUAUUAUCUAAUAACAAACAUCCUAUAGUUUUUCAGCUUCAAUAUCUACAGUUUUUAAAACAAGUUCUAAUAUUUCUACAUAAGGAUUAUUUUGUAUCCAAGCAUCAGAAUCUUUUGCUAAAACAACAAAUGGAUCUUUAUAAAACUAUCAAGAUUAUCAUCAAAUUUAUCAAUCGUGAAAAUAUAUCAAGAACUAAAUGAGCCUUGUAAGUACUCAUAUAAAAUAUAUUUAAAAGAAGAACAAAAGAGGUGGCUUGAUACAAACACUACAAGAAAAAGUGCCUACCAUGACAGGCAAAAUCUGUUAUAGUAGGGGGUGGAUGACGGUUGUUCAUACCGUCAUUGUAGCCACCAUCAAGAAUUGAUGACAGAAUAAUACCAGUCAUAAUCUAUGAUAAAUAUUUUUAGUCACAUAACUGUCAUAACUUUAUUUAGAGAGGAAUAUAAUAAAUUUGAAUUUGGCCCCUUUUUUUUUAAAUUUGUGCGCCAUAUUUUGAAUUUUUGGUGGGAAAAUCAAAUUUGGUGCGAAAUGCAAAUUAUAAUUAAAUGAAUUUUUUCAA